RNAcentral lists this ribosomal RNA (2901 nucleotides) under Klebsiella pneumoniae. Its description in RNAcentral is "23S ribosomal RNA". It matches the Rfam family "Bacterial large subunit ribosomal RNA". The record is from RNAcentral. Lineage: Bacteria; Pseudomonadati; Pseudomonadota; Gammaproteobacteria; Enterobacterales; Enterobacteriaceae. RNAcentral also lists the same sequence under 1 other name.
GGUUAAGCGACUAAGCGUACACGGUGGAUGCCCUGGCAGUCAGAGGCGAUGAAGGACGUGCUAAUCUGCGAAAAGCGUCGGUAAGGUGAUAUGAACCGUUAUAACCGGCGAUGUCCGAAUGGGGAAACCCAGUGUGAUUCGUCACACUAUCGUUAACUGAAUACAUAGGUUAACGAGGCGAACCGGGGGAACUGAAACAUCUAAGUACCCCGAGGAAAAGAAAUCAACCGAGAUUCCCCCAGUAGCGGCGAGCGAACGGGGAGCAGCCCAGAGUCUGAAUCAGCUUGUGUGUUAGUGGAACGGUCUGGAAAGUCCGACGGUACAGGGUGAUAGUCCCGUACACCAAAAUGCACAGGCUGUGAACUCGAAGAGUAGGGCGGGACACGUGGUAUCCUGUCUGAAUAUGGGGGGACCAUCCUCCAAGGCUAAAUACUCCUGACUGACCGAUAGUGAACCAGUACCGUGAGGGAAAGGCGAAAAGAACCCCGGCGAGGGGAGUGAAAAAGAACCUGAAACCGUGUACGUACAAGCAGUGGGAGCACCUUCGGGUGUGACUGCGUACCUUUUGUAUAAUGGGUCAGCGACUUAUAUUCUGUAGCAAGGUUAACCGUAUAGGGGAGCCGCAGGGAAACCGAGUCUUAACUGGGCGUUAAGUUGCAGGGUAUAGACCCGAAACCCGGUGAUCUAGCCAUGGGCAGGUUGAAGGUUGGGUAACACUAACUGGAGGACCGAACCGACUAAUGUUGAAAAAUUAGCGGAUGACUUGUGGCUGGGGGUGAAAGGCCAAUCAAACCGGGAGAUAGCUGGUUCUCCCCGAAAGCUAUUUAGGUAGCGCCUCGUGAAUUCAUCUUCGGGGGUAGAGCACUGUUUCGGCUAGGGGGUCAUCCCGACUUACCAACCCGAUGCAAACUACGAAUACCGAAGAAUGUUAUCACGGGAGACACACGGCGGGUGCUAACGUCCGUCGUGAAGAGGGAAACAACCCAGACCGCCAGCUAAGGUCCCAAAGUCAUGGUUAAGUGGGAAACGAUGUGGGAAGGCACAGACAGCCAGGAUGUUGGCUUAGAAGCAGCCAUCAUUUAAAGAAAGCGUAAUAGCUCACUGGUCGAGUCGGCCUGCGCGGAAGAUGUAACGGGGCUAAACCAUGCACCGAAGCUGCGGCAGCGACACUAUGUGUUGUUGGGUAGGGGAGCGUUCUGUAAGCCUGCGAAGGUGACCUGUGAGGGUUGCUGGAGGUAUCAGAAGUGCGAAUGCUGACAUAAGUAACGAUAAAGCGGGUGAAAAGCCCGCUCGCCGGAAGACCAAGGGUUCCUGUCCAACGUUAAUCGGGGCAGGGUGAGUCGACCCCUAAGGCGAGGCCGAAAGGCGUAGUCGAUGGGAAACAGGUUAAUAUUCCUGUACUUGGUGUUACUGCGAAGGGGGACGGAGAAGGCUAUGUUAGCCGGGCGACGGUUGUCCCGGUUUAAGCAUGUAGGCUGGUUGUCCAGGCAAAUCCGGAUAAUCAAGGCUGAGGUGUGAUGACGAGGCACUACGGUGCUGAAGUAACAAAUGCCCUGCUUCCAGGAAAAGCCUCUAAGCAUCAGGUAACAUCAAAUCGUACCCCAAACCGACACAGGUGGUCAGGUAGAGAAUACCAAGGCGCUUGAGAGAACUCGGGUGAAGGAACUAGGCAAAAUGGUGCCGUAACUUCGGGAGAAGGCACGCUGGUGUGUAGGUGAAGUCCCUGCGGAUGGAGCUGAGACCAGUCGAAGAUACCAGCUGGCUGCAACUGUUUAUUAAAAACACAGCACUGUGCAAACACGAAAGUGGACGUAUACGGUGUGACGCCUGCCCGGUGCCGGAAGGUUAAUUGAUGGGGUUAUCCGUAAGGAGAAGCUCUUGAUCGAAGCCCCGGUAAACGGCGGCCGUAACUAUAACGGUCCUAAGGUAGCGAAAUUCCUUGUCGGGUAAGUUCCGACCUGCACGAAUGGCGUAAUGAUGGCCAGGCUGUCUCCACCCGAGACUCAGUGAAAUUGAACUCGCUGUGAAGAUGCAGUGUACCCGCGGCAAGACGGAAAGACCCCGUGAACCUUUACUAUAGCUUGACACUGAACAUUGAGCCUUGAUGUGUAGGAUAGGUGGGAGGCUUUGAAGCGUGGACGCCAGUCUGCGUGGAGCCAACCUUGAAAUACCACCCUUUAAUGUUUGAUGUUCUAACGUUGGCCCCUGACCGGGGUUGCGGACAGUGUCUGGUGGGUAGUUUGACUGGGGCGGUCUCCUCCCAAAGCGUAACGGAGGAGCACGAAGGUUAGCUAAUCCUGGUCGGACAUCAGGAGGUUAGUGCAAUGGCAUAAGCUAGCUUGACUGCGAGCGUGACGGCGCGAGCAGGUGCGAAAGCAGGUCAUAGUGAUCCGGUGGUUCUGAAUGGAAGGGCCAUCGCUCAACGGAUAAAAGGUACUCCGGGGAUAACAGGCUGAUACCGCCCAAGAGUUCAUAUCGACGGCGGUGUUUGGCACCUCGAUGUCGGCUCAUCACAUCCUGGGGCUGAAGUAGGUCCCAAGGGUAUGGCUGUUCGCCAUUUAAAGUGGUACGCGAGCUGGGUUUAGAACGUCGUGAGACAGUUCGGUCCCUAUCUGCCGUGGGCGCUGGAGAAUUGAGGGGGGCUGCUCCUAGUACGAGAGGACCGGAGUGGACGCAUCACUGGUGUUCGGGUUGUCAUGCCAAUGGCACUGCCCGGUAGCUAAAUGCGGAAGAGAUAAGUGCUGAAAGCAUCUAAGCACGAAACUUGCCCCGAGAUGAGUUCUCCCUGAGACUUUAAGUCUCCUGAAGGAACGUUAAAGACGAUGACGUUGAUAGGCCGGGUGUGUAAGCGCAGCGAUGCGUUGAGCUAACCGGUACUAAUGAACCGUGAGGCUUAACCUU